Molecule: small RNA, 129 nt
Filed under: Schnuerera ultunensis
Lineage: Bacteria; Bacillati; Bacillota; Tissierellia; Tissierellales; Tepidimicrobiaceae
Also listed under: 1 other name
Description: Clostridium ultunense c-di-AMP sequence
Rfam family: c-di-AMP riboswitch aptamer (ydaO/yuaA leader)
About the family: This family represents a conserved RNA structure found upstream of the ydaO and yuaA genes in Bacillus subtilis and related genes in other bacteria. The ydaO/yuaA element is thought to act as a genetic "off" switch for the ydaO and yuaA genes in its native state. It is believed that the element may be triggered during osmotic shock leading to activation of ydaO, a predicted amino acid transporter gene, and members of the yuaA-yubG operon which code for KtrA and KtrB K+ transporters.
Source: RNAcentral
UAAUAUUUAUCGCUGAAUUCUUGUGAAAGAAGCGGGGGAACCAUUUAACUGGGGUGAAUCCUUUUUGGACGGGCAAAAUCCCUUAGCCCGAACCCGUCAGCUAACCUCGCAAGCGUGGAGGGGGGAUUG